UACGAAGGGUGCAAGCGUUAAUCGGAAUUACUGGGCGUAAAGCGUGCGCAGGCGGUUUUGUAAGACAGAUGUGAAAUCCCCGGGCUUAACCUGGGAACUGCGUUUGUGACUGUAGGACUCGAGUGUGGCAGAGGGGGGUGGAAUUCCACGUGUAGCAGUGGAAUGCGUAGAGAUGUGGAGGAACACCGAUGGCGAAGGCAGCCCCCUGGGUCAACACUGACGCUCAUGCACGAAAGCGUGGGGAGCAAACAGGAUUAGAAACCCGAGUAGU
Molecule: ribosomal RNA, 271 nt
Filed under: uncultured bacterium
Lineage: Bacteria
Description: partial 16S ribosomal RNA
Rfam family: Bacterial small subunit ribosomal RNA
Source: RNAcentral